UGCAUUUACUGUUUUCUUUUUGGCGCAAAAAGAAGUAGUUAGUGUUAAACAUAUGUUAGACAGAGCUACUUACCAAUGGCAAUUUGUCUGGAGAUCUGAUGUUUUUUGUACAUUGUUGUGGCUGAAAACCUGAAACGAUUUGUGUAACUGAUAGUCUGUUGCUUUACUUCUACACUGCUUAAUUAACCUGCGAUUAAUUUUGAUAUUUGAUUUUUGGCAAGAAUCAUCGGACUAUAGAUUAUUGAUCAUGCAUGAAACGUUUUAAAGGAAGCGAAUCUACAUUUGCAUGCUCGGUUUGAAGACUUGCCAGCUGGGUGAAGAAGCUUUCUGACAAACAUCCAAAUCACUCUAAUAGGCCCAAGUUGAGCAUAUGUUAGAUGGUCUGGAUGACAUGGAUGGUGCCGAGGAUGUCCCUUUUGAUGAGCUCAUAGGCAUGCAAGGCUUAGUAUUUCACUUGGUUGAGAAUGCAAUUACAAUAACCCUCCCAACUACAAUGUUGCACCUGACAACCUCCUACUCAACGAGGCCAAGCUAUCUGCAGGGGACCAUGCCCCUGGACGUUCCUAAGAGGUGUGCUGCUAGAUGACCUUCUUGCUGCUGAAACAACAAAUGCUUGUAACUGCAGCUCCUGCUAACAUGCAAGCUGGAUGAGCACCGGGCAUAUUUGCUACGAUGAUGAACAAACAUGCAAAUGACUGCAGAAACAACAGCUGAUGGAGCUGUGGUUCUUGGAAACCCAGUUGCUCCUCCUGUUAAUGGGGAUGUGUAUGCGGAUAUCAGCCCUGAGAAUGUUGUGGUCCAGUGACACCGAGAAGAUAGUGCAAAUGUGCUAAUUAUUUGGUUGAAGCAUCUGCUGCAGAGGUUGAGGUAAUUAGUGCUACUUUAGCUGCUAUAAAGGCCAGACAAGUUGGAGAUGAGAUGAGCAUUUUAUCAUAUUGCUUUGCCUGUAAUAACCAAAAUUGAUUGAUUUAGUUUCACACAACAUAGAUAAUUAUAUCGUCAGGUUCAAUUUUACUUAUGAAAGUUGAACAUUUCUUAUCUUGUUAGAUUUCCUCUUUGUAAGUUCUAGGACUUUAGUUAAUUGAAUAUCUUAAGGCAUGCAUGCCAGAACUUUCCAGAUGGUAACACUUGAUGCAAUUCUGUUCCUACUAUUCUUACCUGAUACUACCUGGACGACCUUCAAGCAUCAAUAACUUAAUCCUUUUAGGUUUUCUACUUCUUUCUCCAGUACAGACAUAAUAUUGUUUGGUGCUUCCCAAUAUUUGGACGUGAAAGUAGAGAAGCUUUACAUUUCAAGAAAUAUUAGAUUAUCAAUAAGAAAAUAUGGUCCAAGCCGGACUACUACUUCUAAAUGUUUUGUUUUUCACCAAAGGGGAUAUUUUACUUCUCCUAAUCAUGGUCGCCGUGUAACCCGAUGAUAGUAGGAUGGUAAAUAACUACAUCCUUUUUCGGCAUGGCAAAAAAAAAUACAUCCUACCCAUUUGAUGAUUUGCAACUGCAGCUGAACAAUAAUGAAAGAAAAAAGAGUACAUGCUUUACAUAAUGUACCUACAACAACAAUAGGUUGCCCCACCAAACAUCACCAGAGGACUGAGAAGGAAAACGACGCUUCCUCAGUCAGGUUCUAUUGGCCGUUGUAGCAUUAGCAUGAUGAAGAUUCUGGAACAGUGCAUGACAUGUCCAAGCCCAAGGUCUUCCCUUAGUGUGAAGCACCUGAGCUGGCGUCGAGCAAU
Molecule: long non-coding RNA, 1733 nt
Organism: Triticum aestivum (bread wheat)
Lineage: Eukaryota; Viridiplantae; Streptophyta; Magnoliopsida; Poales; Poaceae
Exons: 4
Source: RefSeq, a predicted model, not a curated record